Molecule: long non-coding RNA, 4787 nt
Organism: Homarus americanus (American lobster)
Lineage: Eukaryota; Metazoa; Arthropoda; Malacostraca; Decapoda; Nephropidae
Exons: 5
Source: RefSeq, a predicted model, not a curated record
GCACCACUUACUCUUCACCAUGUUUACAUAUGCUGCUCGUUAAGGAUUCUUUUGUGAACUAAAACUGGCUCAUCUCUGGGGCUCCUCACACCUCCUUUACGUUACCUUACACUUCUCACACCACGCCUAGCACCUCCUACUCACAAUACUGCACACCUUACACUGCCUAUCAUGAUCGAUGUGUACAGUCAGUUGAUCAAUGUCCUGCAGUAUCUGAUGCCAACUUAAACCACUUAACCCCAAAUAAUGUGUGUGUGUGUUAUCAUCCCUUAGUUCCUGUAUAUUCUGUGAACUUAUGCUUUCAGAAAAUUCCAUGUUGUUUAAACUAAAUCGCAAGUGUUUGUGUUUACAGUGAGACAGCUGUUCGUGGUUUACCUGUUUGUUUCCGAGGCCUUAUGGGAUGGAGCUGGCUGUCACAACAAAAUGAUAUACGACGGACAAUCAAGAGGUCAGCAGUGAAAUCCGGCACCCUGUAUUGGACAGUAUAUAUUUCUACACUAAUUACAAACUUUGCAUGCUGAUGUGAAGGUCAUAUCGAUAAAAAGAAGAAAUAAUUAUGAACACGAACAUCACAAGAUACAAGAUUCUUUCGUCACGAUUCUGGAAGACAAAGUAGUGAGAUGCUGUAUACGUGAAGAACCAGAUGCUGUGUGGAGAGUAGCAUAAGAUGUCGAGACGUGUUUCUUCACUCACUUUAAAUAUAUUAGUCUUUAUCCUCGUCUUGCCAUAGGUGUCUCUGCGUCCCAAAGAGCUCUCAGAGUUAACGAGUGCAUAUUCCUCUUAGCUGUCUCUAUAUCCAAGAGCUUUCUGAAUUUACGAGUCUCUGCAUUCAAGUCUUUCAGCUACCUCCCCGUCUCUUUCAUUCAAAAUUUACUAACAAAAAUAUCUCACGUUUCUUAUAAAGUGUGGCAGGAGGAGACUGUUACGUUCUCCCUUAUUUCUUUCGGCAAGGCCCCGGAGGAAGAAAUCUAUUCUUGACUGUGCAGUGUCUCAUCUCUCUUCCUCCCAGCACCUUGUACAGUACUUCCCUGAGAUACUCUUUGAUCUUCCAGUCUGACAAAGCCUCUCUAUCAGUUAAAGUUUUCUAUUUUUUGUUGAAGACAUUCUGGUCGUGUUCCUGUAGGGUGGGUGGACGACCUGCACUGCAUCCAUACUCUGAGGCGGAGCUUGAGUCUUCACUCCCCAGUAAGUUAUUUUUUUCUGUGGAGGCGUGAGAAUACAUCGAAAUGGCUCACUGACUUGCGACAUAAACAUAGUUCUACGACUCUCAUCAUUAGUAGUAGUGGGAAAGAAUGAAACGAGGAAUGUCUGAGUACAGUUCUUCGAAUAUAUGUUGCACAGCCGCCAGCCCGGCCCUUGAAGAAUCAGCUGAAGAUCUCGAUCCUCUAAAACACAUAAAGUGACUGUGGCCAGAAGGGGUUAUGCUUCUGUAAUAGUUUGACCAAACACGCAAGAACAAACGUAAAACUGAACACAUUAUUAUGCACGACUACCAGUAAUAUGGCAGUUGUCUCAGCUUGACGACACCGAUCACCAAAGUCAACGUAUAGGGGAAUCAGUACCAUAUGGAAGACACAUAAUAAUAGGAAUGUCUCAUUUGCCCACGUGCUGGCAGAGUGAAGACCUGCUGGUGUGUGGCAACAUUAUCCUGCUAGCUUCGUUCAUAAGUGGCCAAUUCCCUACCGUAAUACCCUAUAUUAUAAUGUUAUUUGUCCUCCGUCAGUGAGCUGGACAACCACUUCUCAAGUUUCAUCACUGUCUUCAAUGAACGAACAACGAGACUCACGUGAGUAUCUUGCUACACUAAGCUACAUCUGUGCCUCUCCUCACCCAGAACACUAUUGGCAUACCUCAACACCUGUCACACCUGUCUAGUGUGACGCAUACUGGAGGAAUUUCGCAAUUGGCCCCCCAGCUUAUUUCACCUUAAUAUUAAUCACCUUAACGCCAACCUAACCUAAUCUGUUCUAAUGUAACCUAUCGCUAAUCCAACUUAAUCUAAAUAAACCUAACGUAACCCCAGCUGGCGUUGGGCGGGUGAAUCAUCAGGUGAAAUAAGCUAGGGGAUAGUCAUCAGCAGAUCUGCAAGAAUCAUCCACUGUUACAGAAGGAAGAAUAAAAACAACAAGCGCGAGACAUGACAACAGUGACGCACGAGCAGACCAUCUUAUUCAUCGCCGCCAGAGUGACUUGCCAAGGAUCUGGAUUUCAAGGUGAGGCGGAACAAGAUUUUUUACGCGGCGUGAUGGGUCGAAGUUCAAGCGACAACCUGGCGAACAAAACAUGCUUGGAUCCCUCUUGGGGGCCUCUCAAUAACAUGGUGGGGAUGGAGGACGGGGACCGAUCUCGAGGUGAAGUAAUUGCCAAGAAGAAACAAAUAUUAAUAUAAGAAUAAUGUCUUGAAGUGAAGUAAUUACCAAAAAAAUAGAAGAAUGGUGAAGAAUAAGAGCCAGCAGGAUCAACCGCUCAAGUUGUCAGCUCCACAUCACGCUCACGUCUGUAGCGGAGAGGAAAGACCAUCGCUAUGGAACGGAGGGGAAUGAUGGUAACCGUCAUCGUAGUUACCCUGUGAAGAAGAUGGUAAGUUCACCUUCCUGCUUGUUUGGCGCUGCAGUUCCUUCAAGACAAACUAAAUCUCCAGCAGUACUGUAUACCUCACAAAAAAUAUCAUUAAGUCAAGUAAGAUCAUCUGCAGUUAUGUCUACAACAAGAGCAUCUUCAUGAAUCAAAUUGGCAAUGAGAUCAAACCACUUAAUAUAAAGGUUUUGUGUAUGUGUCACAACUUUCAACAGCACCCAUAAAACUAAAAGUUUGGAGAGACAUCACCCAAUACAAUAUCCCACAGGUCAGUACAAAGUCAAUUUAUGUAAAUACUACUUACAGUAACUCAAAGGUAAUUCAUAUGAAGCUAAAUUAUAAUAAUAAUUGUUCAAUCAUACAAAUACUGUAGUGCUGACAUCAAUACAGGGUGGGGGUCCAGCUUCUCAUUGUCUCAUUAUUAAGAUGCUGAUGACUUAGAGAAGGUCACUACACCUUGACACACUGAUUAAGGUUCUUUAGGGGUUUUUUCUAUUAGUAUUCUGGAUGUACUAAGUUGCUAAUAGUUUGAUGCAGAAUUCACUUUUAUUCCCCUAAGUGUGAUAGAUGGAUUUAUUCCACAUCCUACAAAGAAACUUUUCCCUCUCCUGAGUUGUUCAAGAACACCCCUCUCACUGCUUUGUUCAAAAUACCUGCUACAUCCUAGUGUGUGCCUGAAAUUUAAGUACUUUUCACCAAUAAUAUUUCAACGGCAAUUUUUUUUUUCUAUUAUAAACAUUAAUUUCUAAUCAAAGGGAAAAGGCAUUUUCACCCCCAAAGCCAAUAUAGGAAGACCUCAAAGCCCUGAUUUAGGAUAUGGGGUGUAAAACUUGCAAUUAUGGUCAUUACCGUACAUAUAAUGACUCUAGGAAUAUUUGGAACCCUAAUUACUCCCAACCUGUAUUGUAAUUUCUUAAAAACAAUUUUGUGUGUUUUUCUUUCAUUCUCAAUGUACCUGUACUAAGUUGUGGAAAGUGAUAUCUUAAUGAAACUUAGUGAGGCUACAGAAACAUAAUUACCGUUACAUAAAUUCAUUACUCAUUAAUUAAACUAAUAAAUGGGUCCCCCUGUAGUUAUGAAAUGUAAUAUUAACUUUAAAUUAUCCUAACCAGACCAAGUUCAGUUUUGGUUUAGUUUAAUUUCCACGAAUCAAGUUAGAUAUUUCCUAUGAUAUUAAAUGUAAAAUUUACUCUUUAUGUACAGGGGUUUUAAGAGGGAUAUGAAGUUGGAGGUUCCCUCUUAAAAGAAGCUACAGCCAUGCCAGGGCACUAAAGAUGAAAUGUAAAUACUCUCACUUCUAUUGAAAAUCUAUAGCUGGAAUGCAACCUUAAACACCUCAAGACCAGCCAGAGAACUAAAAGUUACCCGUGCAUUUUUAGAAUUCCCUUGUAUCUCGUGUUCAGUAACAUUUUGAGUUACAGGGUACACAUAAAAAUAAAGUAAAAUAUUCUAAAGAUUUGUGAUGUUUGCCAAUUCUGUCAUUAUUUAAUACACAUACAGGUAUUGCUCACUUAACAUAGCUUCACUUAAUGUACUGUACUGUCAUUAAAAUAUAGUUCACAACUUAGGUAAUGUAAUCCCGCAAUAAAUUCAAUGAUUUGCUGCUAAUUUAGUUAAACAAAAUAAGAGGCUAGUAGAUUUGUGCAUUCAUCACUGGUUAACACUAGUGUAUUUAUAUUACAGUAUAAAUAUAUAUACUAAUUUAUUGGGGCCCAAAAAGUUUUCCCUGGUAAAUAUCUCAAUUAACAAUAUGGGAGAGUACAGGUAUAGGAGGACAUGUUUUACUUACCAUAAUAUGAUUUUGGAAUUUGUAUAUGUUAAGUGAAAUAUACCUGUAGUGUACACCCACACACAAAGAUGGACAUACAGUAAACAGUUGUACUUGGAAGUACAGUAGUAUGACACAAAAUACGUUACUAAUUUCAUAUACAGUAUAGUCCUACGCCAUCAGAUAAAUAUUCCUUGUGUAUGUGCUCUUGCAGCUGGAAGAAAUGUACCUCUCUUAGAGUCCUAAUAAUAUCACUCAUUAUUGGUAAAAUCAGCAGGUAGUAUCAUGUCCAAUGGCAAAAUCAUAUGAUCACAGCAUAUAUUUAUAAUACAGAUCAUUGGAUACAUGAACAUCUCAGCAACCUUCUUUUCUGACUUAUGACUUAUCAUUAAUACUUUAUCCACCUAAUACAUAUGUAUAAAAUAUAAUUAUAAAAAUCUAU